AGAGUUUGAUCAUGGCUCAGAACGAACGCUGGCGGCGUGCUUAACACAUGCAAGUCGAACGCGAACGUUUCCUUCGGGAAACUAGUAGAGUGGCGCACGGGUGAGUAACGCGUAAGUAAUCUACCCUCGCAUUUGGGAUAACCCACCGAAAGGUGUGCUAAUACCAGAUACGUCUAUUUUAAUAUCUUUUUGUAGAGAAAGGUGGCCUCUGAUUUAAGCUACUGUGCGGGGAGGAGCUUGCGUACCAUUAGCUAGUUGGUAGGGUAAUGGCCUACCAAGGCAACGAUGGUUAGCGGGUCUGAGAGGAUGAUCCGCCACACUGGAACUGGAACACGGACCAGACUCCUACGGGAGGCAGCAGUGAGGAAUAUUGCGCAAUGGGGGAAACCCUGACGCAGCGACGCCGCGUGGAUGAUGAAGGCCUUCGGGUUGUAAAAUCCUGUCAGAUGGGAAGAAGUGCACUAUGUCUAAUACAUAUAGUGUUUGACGGUACCAUUAAAGGAAGCACCGGCUAACUCCGUGCCAGCAGCCGCGGUAAAUACGGAGGGUGCAAGCGUUGUUCGGAAUUACUGGGCGUAAAGCGCGCGUAGGCGGC
RNAcentral lists this ribosomal RNA (595 nucleotides) under uncultured delta proteobacterium Sva0010a. RNAcentral's name for it is "bacterial SSU rRNA". It matches the Rfam family "Bacterial small subunit ribosomal RNA", at positions 8 to 579 of the family's 1533-position model. Lineage: Bacteria; Deltaproteobacteria. The record is from RNAcentral.